AGUGAACGCUGGCGGUAGGCCUAACACAUGCAAGUCGAACGGCAGCACAGUAAGAGCUUGCUCUUACGGGUGGCGAGUGGCGGACGGGUGCGGAAUACAUCGGAAUCUACUUUUUCGUGGGGGCUAACGCAGGGAAACUUACGCUAAUACCGCAUACGACCUACGGGUGAAAGCAGGGGAUCUUCGGACCUUGCGCGAUUGAAUGAGCCGAUGUCGGAUUAGCUAGUUGGCGGGGUAAAGGCCCACCAAGGCGACGAUCCGUAGCUGGUCUGAGAGGAUGAUCAGCCACACUGGAACUGAGACACGGUCCAGACUCCUACGGGAGGCAGCAGUGGGGAAUAUUGGACAAUGGGCGCAAGCCUGAUCCAGCCAUACCGCGUGGGUGAAGAAGGCCUUCGGGUUGUAAAGCCCUUUUGUUGGGAAAGAAAAGCAGCAGGUUAAUACCCCGCUGUUCUGACGGUACCCAAAGAAUAAGCACCGGCUAACUUCGUG
RNAcentral lists this ribosomal RNA (492 nucleotides) under uncultured bacterium. RNAcentral's name for it is "partial 16S ribosomal RNA". It matches the Rfam family "Bacterial small subunit ribosomal RNA", at positions 29 to 507 of the family's 1533-position model. The record is from RNAcentral.